RNAcentral lists this ribosomal RNA (245 nucleotides) under uncultured bacterium. Its description in RNAcentral is "partial 16S ribosomal RNA". It matches the Rfam family "Bacterial small subunit ribosomal RNA", at positions 524 to 768 of the family's 1533-position model. The record is from RNAcentral.
UACGUAGGUGGCGAGCGUUACUCGGAAUUACUAGGCGUAAAGCGCGUGUAGGCGGGAGGUUAAGUCUGCUGUUAAAUCUCAUGGCUCAACCAUGAAAUGCCGGCGGAUACUGGCCUUCUUGAAUUCGGUAGAGGAAACUGGAAUUCCGUGUGUAGCGGUGAAAUGCGUAGAGAUACGGAAGAACGCCAAAGGCGAAGGCAGGUUUCUGGGCCGCAAUUGACGCUGAGACGCGAAAGCUAGGGGAG